UCCAGCGCUUCCCCAGGGCGCGGGCAGCGGUCCAAUUGAGGCCGACCGAGUUAUGAGAGCCGCCGGUCCGAGUGCGCGCAUGGCGCUGGCUCUGCUGCUGCUGGCCGGGGCCGGGGUGUCGGCCGCCACCUCGUCCUCCGCCCCGCCGCUCUUCAACGUGAGCCUGGACGCGGCCCCCGAGCUGCGCUGGCUGCCAGUGCUGCAGCACUUCGACCGCGACUUCUUGCGCGCCUCUAUGGCGCGUAUCAUCGGGGAUACUGUCCCCAAGUGGGUCCUCGCAUUGAUCCGAAAGGCGGUCUGGGAGCUGGAGCUCUUCCUGCCCCAGCCCUUCACCGACGAGAUCCGCGGCCAGUGCGACGCUCUGAACUUCACCCUGGCCGACUGCAUCCUCCUUAACCUGGCCUACGAGUCCACAGCAUUCUGCACCAGUAUUGUGGCUCAGGACUCCAAAGGCAACAUUUAUCAUGGCCGGAACCUGGAUUACUCUUUUGGAAAUUUCUUACGCAAGUUGACAGUGGAUGUGCAGUUCAUAAAGAAUGGGCAGAUUGCUUUCACGGGAACCACCUUUAUUGGCUAUGUAGGAUUGUGGACCGGUCAGAGCCCACACAAGUUUACUGUUUCUGGCGACGAACGAGAUAAAGGCUCGUGGUGGGAGAAUAUGAUUGCCGCCCUUUUUCAUAGACACUCACCGGUCAGCUGGCUUAUCCGCACUACCCUGAGUGAAUCAGAAAACUUUGAAGCAGCUGUUUACGAAUUGGCCAAGACUCCCCUUAUGGCUGAUGUUUAUUACAUUGUUGGUGGCACAUUCCCCCAGGAGGGAGUGGUCAUCACAAGGAACAGAGAUGGCCCAGCAGACAUAUGGCCUCUAGAUCCUUUAAAUGGAGCGUGGUUCCGAGUGGAGACAAAUUAUGACCAUUGGAAGCCAGUGCCUAAGAGAGAUGACCGAAGAACACCUGCCAUCAAAGCUCUUAAUGCCACGGGCCAGGCAAACCUCAGCCUGGAGACGCUCUUUCAGGUUUUGUCAGUGUUUCCGGUUUAUAACAAGAUCUACAUUUAAAUGAUUAUCACCAGUGAACCAGAAAUAACACAGAUCCCUGACUCUCAGGCCUUUUGCAUGUAAUGAUUACCAUCAGCUACGUCUGUUCAGUGUGUGAGGCUAAUAUUUAGAAAAGUCUGAACAGAAGCAAGGAUCUCUAUGCUGCCCCCUUGUGCUGUGCUACAAAAUUACAGUCCCCUGCAGUGGAGCUCCAUCCUCUGCUGUGGCUAUAAGCAGAGACAGUAUUAAAACAGUGAUGGAGAACAGAAUUAUGACUAAAGGGCUUCCCUGGUGGUGCAGUGGUUAAGAAUCCGCCUGCCAAUGCAAGGGACACCGGUUUCAGCCCUGGUCCAGGAAGAUCCCACAUGCCACGGAACAACUAAACUCCUGCACCACAAAUACUGAGCCUGCACUCUAGAGCCUGCGAGCCACAACUACUGAAGCCCGCACACCUAGAGCCCAUGCUUCACAACAAGAGAAGCCACCGCAAUGAGAAGCUGGCAACGAAGAGUAGCCCACGCUCGCCGCAACUACAGAAAGCCCGCCCGCAGCAAUGAAGACCCAACGCAGCCAAAAAUAAUACAUUUUUUAAAAGCUUAAAAAAGAAUUAUGACUAAAUUAAAUAAGCAGCUGAGGUCCUGUUCAGGGAACCUUCGUUCCCCUUGACAAGCUUUGCAUGUUCUCAUAGUGCUGUCUUCAGCCCAGUGUUUGAUUCAGCUGUGGGGUGCCAGUGCCUAUUCCUAAACUGCCCCACUCCCAAUGCUUUGAGCAGGCAUCCCAGCUGGUGUCUGGGGCAAAAGGAAGUCGAAGGGAGUGAAGGGUAGGAGCCUCAGUGUGUAUGUGCAUGCGUAUGUGCAUGUGCCCAAGUUAUUUGGGUCUCUUGCUCUGCAGAAUGUUGAGUAAGUGACAUUGUACUUUUCAUCCUUAGAUCUGGGCCAGUGGACCCCCUGUCUUGAUCCCUGAGCUUUCAGGUCCCCACUCUGGCCUUCCUCUGACUCUCCCAUGAUAUAAGGAAUCCACUCAGAGUCUGGCCCAAGUACCCAGAACCCUGGAAUUCUCGUCCUGAACAGCGCCCAAGCCAUUUCCAGGGCCUGCGUGGUUCACUUCCCUGGGUGGUGUUCUCCUGGUGGCGGUGUGCAGCCUUCAUGGACGUCCUGUGCCUGGUGGUGGCCAAGGGAUGGCUGUUUGCUGGGGGUGGUGCAUGAAGCCUAGAUGAGCGUCCACAUAUGUGCCAUUUGUGGGGUAGGCAGAGCAGGACUGCAGGCUAAGGCUAGCUCUCCUUCAUUGCCACAGUGUGAAACUCUGGGGAGUCUGAGAAUUUUGAACUUGGCCUUCCACAGUGUUGUCAAAAUAGGAAAGAACACUUAGUGUGGUUCCUUGAAUUAUAACUUUUAAAUAGCCUGACAUAGGUGGGUGUCUGUCUGUAUUCUUGUCCUGGGUCCCAAGUAUUAGGAAAAGAGCUUGGGAUUUUUCUUCCCCUCUUUGGAAUAUUAGAGAAAAUGAUGUAUAUGUUAAAAUUCCUCUCAUUUUCAGCUACACAAUUUAUACUACAGUAAUGAGUGCUGCCAGCCCAGACAAGUACAUGACUAGGAUCAGAAACCCGAGUUAAAAGCAGAAGAGCGAAUUCACCUAUGCUAUGAAGAUGAUCUUUUUAAAUGAAAUUUUUGAAGAGCUGCAC
Molecule: RNA transcript, 2714 nt
Organism: Globicephala melas (long-finned pilot whale)
Lineage: Eukaryota; Metazoa; Chordata; Mammalia; Artiodactyla; Delphinidae
Gene: NAAA
Gene name: N-acylethanolamine acid amidase
Source: RefSeq, a predicted model, not a curated record